Molecule: ribosomal RNA, 440 nt
Filed under: uncultured bacterium
Lineage: Bacteria
Description: partial 16S ribosomal RNA
Rfam family: Bacterial small subunit ribosomal RNA
Source: RNAcentral
CCUACGGGAGGCAGCAGUGGGGAAUAUUGCACAAUGGGGGAAACCCUGAUGCAGCAACGCCGCGUGAGUGAUGAAGUAUCUCGGUAUGUAAAGCUCUAUCAUCAGGGACGAAAAUGACGGUACCUGACUAAGAAGCACCGGCUAACUACGUGCCAGCAGCCGCGGUAAUACGUAGGGUGCAAGCGUUAUCCGGAUUUACUGGGUGUAAAGGGAGCGCAGGCGGACCUGUAAGUCAGAUGUGAAAGCCCGGGGCUCAACCUCGGUACUGCAUUUGAAACUGGCGGGCUAGAGUGGAGGAGAGGCGAGUGGAAUUCCUAGUGUAGCGGUGAAAUGCGUAGAUAUUAGGAGGAACACCAGUGGCGAAGGCGGUUUGCUGGACGAUCACUGACGCUGAGGCUCGAAAGCGUGGGGAGCAAACAGGAUUAGAUACCCCUGUAGUC